AAACGGAAAGACUUCCCUCCAAGGGCAUGCUGGGAACUGUAGUACGGCGAGGGCCGGAAAUGGGAGUCUGGCGGCCGCCUGAGGCCAGCGGCGGGGAGACCGUUAGAGGGAGGGUCUAAGCUUCUGCAUUGGUGUUGUUCCUUACGCAGCUGAAUGUCCUGCUCCAGCCUCGGCUGGUUGGGCUGGCUGGACUGGCUGACGGUCGCGGAAACUGCCACCCCUUGGUGGGAACUGUCAAGCACCGGUUUAAUUCCCUUUUCUCAUUUAGCGGUUUCGGUCUCGGAAAUUCCUUCCACUCUUGUUUGCAUUCUUGUUAUGUACUCAGCUACAGUAACGUGGGAAAUAAUCUAAGGCAGUUAUCUGGAUAAAAGAGGACUUGGCUAUUUUUAUUUUUUUAUUUUUUGCCUUAAUACUAAUCUCUAGCAUACAUCUCGUGCCACCGGGCUCCAGACUUUCUUAGCUUGAGUUGAUGGACAGUGGAUGAAUUCUCCAAGUAACUCCAAGUUUUUCAUUCCAAGCAGCCUGUGUCAGUAAUCAUCAUUGAUGCCUUCCCUACCAGUCUCUCUCCGCUUGAGCUGUGCUGAAGAGAAAGUAGAAGGGGCAAAAGUUUAUUCAUCUAAUAAUUGAAUUUCUUCUAUGUUGUGCUAGAUAUUCUGCUAGAUACUGGGAAUUUGGAAAUUUGGAGAUAAGAAUAAAUGGGACCUGAGUUUAUGGA
This is a non-coding RNA of Callithrix jacchus (white-tufted-ear marmoset), 715 nucleotides long. NCBI's taxonomy places the organism in Eukaryota, Metazoa, Chordata, Mammalia, Primates, Cebidae. The record is from RefSeq and is a predicted model, not a curated record.